This 270-nucleotide long non-coding RNA is filed under the name Vigna radiata. RNAcentral describes it as "long non-coding RNA (VRAD_LNC012452)". Lineage: Eukaryota; Viridiplantae; Streptophyta; Magnoliopsida; Fabales; Fabaceae. The record is from RNAcentral.
GGGAAAGUACGUGAAAGAGAGAGAUAACAUGUAGAGAAUAUACUGAAUAAUACGGUGACUUCUUAUUGAAAGAAACAGAGAAGAGAUGUUUAUAUAUACAGACAAAGCACCAGAUAAAUGUGCCAACGACUAACUAACAAAACUGAAAAAGAGUAGCUUGAAUUACUAACUAAUAAAAACAAUGUAGUAUUAUGGUAAUAUUUACAAGAACAAGAAAUCAAACCAAAUAUUUAACAAAUCAAACAUGAUUAUAAGUUGUCACUCAUUUGU